GGGGAAUAUUGCACAAUGGAGGAAACUCUGAUGCAGCGACGCCGCGUGGAGGAAGAAGGUUUUCGGAUCGUAAACUCCUGUUGUCGGGGACGAUAAUGACGGUACCCGACAAGAAAGUGACGGCUAACUACGUGCCAGCAGCCGCGGUAAAACGUAGGUCACAAGCGUUGUCCGGAAUUACUGGGUGUAAAGGGAGCGCAGGCGGGGAGAUAAGUUGGGAGUGAAAACUAUGGGCUCAACCCAUAAAUUGCUUUCAAAACUAUCUUUCUUGAGUAGUGCAGAGGUAGGCGGAAUUCCCGGUGUAGCGGUGGAAUGCGUAGAUAUCGGGAGGAACACCAGUGGCGAAGGCGGCCUACUGGGCACCAACUGACGCUGAGGCUCGAAAGUAUGGGUAGCAAACA
RNAcentral lists this ribosomal RNA (401 nucleotides) under uncultured Oscillospiraceae bacterium. RNAcentral describes it as "bacterial SSU rRNA". It matches the Rfam family "Bacterial small subunit ribosomal RNA", at positions 356 to 774 of the family's 1533-position model. Lineage: Bacteria; Bacillati; Bacillota; Clostridia; Eubacteriales; Oscillospiraceae. The record is from RNAcentral.